RNAcentral lists this ribosomal RNA (498 nucleotides) under uncultured bacterium. RNAcentral describes it as "partial 16S ribosomal RNA". It matches the Rfam family "Bacterial small subunit ribosomal RNA", at positions 30 to 523 of the family's 1533-position model. The record is from RNAcentral.
AUUGAACGCUGGCGGCAUGCCUUACACAUGCAAGUCGAACGGUAACAGGUCUUCGGAUGCUGACGAGUGGCGAACGGGUGAGUAAUACAUCGGAACGUGCCUAGUAGUGGGGGAUAACUACUCGAAAGAGUGGCUAAUACCGCAUGAGAUCUACGGAUGAAAGCAGGGGAUCGCAAGACCUUGUGCUACUAGAGCGGCCGAUGGCAGAUUAGGUAGUUGGUGGGAUAAAAGCUUACCAAGCCGACGAUCUGUAGCUGGUCUGAGAGGACGAUCAGCCACGCUGGGACUGAGACACGGCCCAGACUCCUACGGGAGGCAGCAGUGGGGAAUGUUGGACAAUGGGCGAAAGCCUGAUCCAGCAAUGCCGCGUGCAGGAUGAAGGCCUUCGGGUUGUAAACUGCUUUUGUACGGAACGAAAAGACUCCUUCUAAUACAGGGGGUCCAUGACGGUACCGUAAGAAUAAGCACCGGCUAACUACGUGCCAGCCGCCGCGGUAA